GACGAACGCUGGCGGCGUGCUUAACACAUGCAAGUCGAACGGAAAGGCCCUGCUUUUGUGGGGUGCUCGAGUGGCGAACGGGUGAGUAACACGUGAGUAACCUGCCCUUGACUUUGGGAUAACUUCAGGAAACUGGGGCUAAUACCGGAUAGGAGCUCCUGCUGCAUGGUGUGGGUUGGAAAGUUUCGGCGGUUGGGGAUGGUCUCGCGGCUUAUCAGCUUGUUGGUGUGGUAGUGGCUUACCAAGGCUUUGACGGGUAGCCGGCCUGAGAGGGUGACCGGCCACAUUGGGACUGAGAUACGGCCCAGACUCCAACGGGAGGCAGCAGUGGAGAAUAUUGCACAAUGGGCGGAAGCCUGAUGCAGCGACGCCGCGUGCGGGAUGACGGCCUUCGGGUUGUAAACCGCUUUCGCCUGUGACGAAGCGUGAGUGACGGUAAUGGGUAAAGAAGCACCGGCUAACUACGUG
RNAcentral lists this ribosomal RNA (468 nucleotides) under uncultured bacterium. Its description in RNAcentral is "partial 16S ribosomal RNA". It matches the Rfam family "Bacterial small subunit ribosomal RNA", at positions 28 to 507 of the family's 1533-position model. The record is from RNAcentral.